Gallus gallus (chicken) is the source of this 2089-nucleotide long non-coding RNA. The record is from Ensembl. Lineage: Eukaryota; Metazoa; Chordata; Aves; Galliformes; Phasianidae.
GAAGGGGUGGAGCCUGGCUGCACCUCCCUUAGACCCAAUUUAAGGGCUGACUGCCACUGGGGAAGGAUCUCUGGUUGGAGAUCUCUCCUUUGUGGAGUUUCUAUUGCAAAGCCUAGAUCUUCAGAGAUGGGAUGGAGAUGAACACCACCCAACCCGAAACGCCCCGAGCUCCCGAUCGGAGCGAUGCAUCGCGGCGGAGGUAGCAGCCAAUGGAAGAGGAGCUGCCUGGUUAUCAUCGUUAGUAUUGAGAAGCGUCAUGCACUGCUCGGGAAGACUUUUUGGGAGCGGGCAGAGACAUCGCUCCCCUCCGAACGAGUUGUCUGCUAGAGCCGGAUUUUGGCAAACGGCGCCAGGUUUCCCUGGUUCAAUUUGCACACGGGAUGACAAAUGAAUAUCAUAGUAUAUAUUCCGCACACACACCCCUCUCUCCCCCCCCCCCUCCUUCCCCUCCCCAUCCUCGAAGUACCCGAGAAUAAGCAAUGAAAACAAAGGUAGUUUUGUAUUUUAAACGGAGGAGGGGAAAAACACGAUACACGAGGGCUGUUCCCACGGGUGGGUGGGAGUGGAAAAGCAGUUCCCAUUCGCGUCGCCCGCACAUACCAUCCCUGCUCCCUCCCCGUCGGGGCCACGCGUGGCACGGAGCUGCCCGAAGGGAUAACGUUGGGGGCACUCCAAAGGGGAUGUGGGGGGAAAUCCCGGGGGAAAGUGGCCUCCUGCAACCCCUUUUUUUUCUGUCGCGGGUCCUCGAGGGAGGCUGCUGGGAUGCUGGGGGAGAAGUUCGUGGGACCUCACCUAGAGAAGGGGUUGGAGGGGUUUCCCCAUGGGUUUUCCCCGUGCCGGGGGUUAAGAGAGGGGGGAGCGCGACCCGCACAGCCCCCGCUUUGGGGGAAUGGGGCUGAGAAAUUUCCAACACAUUUCUAAACGCAACGAAAAAAGCCGCUGGGACGGCGCCGGUGGCGGCAGCCGCAAAGUCUCCGACCCCGCCGGCCUCGUCCAGGUGAGCGGACUCUAAACCGUGCCCCCAUCCUCCUCCUCCUCUUCCUCCUCCUCUUCCUCCUCCUCCCCGGCCCCGCACGCACACGGGGAAAUGAAAGUCAUUUGUUGAGAGCGGAAAGGAGAGAGAGAAAAAAAAAAAAAAGCAGGAAAUAACUGAGGGUGGUUGACGAUAUUGUUAUCAUUAUCGUUGUUGUUAUUCUUAUUACUACUCCGGGGGUAGCGAACGACCGCCAAUGGCAGCGCGGGGCCGCUCCGGCGGGAGCCGAAGUUGCCUCCGGGAGACUGCGGGGGGAGCGCGGAGGUUGCGGGGCUGCGGACCCCACCGUCGGCCCGGCCCGAGCCCCCCGCCCGGCCCGCAUCUCGUUUCUGCCCCCGUUAGCCGUAGAGAGGCCGGAAUGCUUCGCGCCGGGGCAAGGGGCGGCCCGACGGGGGCUGUUCGGAGCAGGUUUGUUAACCGAGCAGGUGCUCAAAACCAAUAAGCCACGAACAAACGCGGCCCCCGUCGGGAUUCGGAACAAUUGUUUCCAUUUAAUAAAUAUUUUCCCCACGGGCGUUUGGAGGGAGGCAGGCAAUUAUUCAAAGCGAGCCGGGACGCGGGCCGGCUCCCGGGGUUAAGCGGGGCUGCGGAGCGGGGGAAUUGGCAGCGGAGAGCGGCCUCGGCCCGGCGGAGCGCGGUGCUCUCAGCCCCGACGGCGGCGGAGGGGUCUCGGGACCCCGGCACCCCCGGUCCUCACAUCCCGGGGGUCCCGGUGCCUCCCCCCACCCCCGCUCGGCUCGCUGUUAGCGCGGCAACUCACAAAGCCUUCCCUUUAAUCUGCGCGCUGGUGGAGGAGGGGUGGGGGGGUCCUCCUUUCCCCUCCUUUCUUCCUCCUCCUCCGCCCUCCCCUGUCCCCUCCCCUCCUCUUCCUCUCGCCCUUCCUCUCUCCCUCUCUUUUUAAGCUGGUCCCCCUCCGCGCUGAUUGGGCGCCUAGCCGCGCUGUGAACGCCCUGCCACUAUGUCAGCCCGCUCGCCGCAGCCCCUCGCCUUUGAACUGCCCCGCGCCGCUCCGCGUCCCCACCGCCGGCCCGCAGCUGUGCCCGGCGGCUCGCCGCC